GUGGGGAAUUUUGGACAAUGGGCGAAAGCCUGAUCCAGCCAUGCCGCGUGCAGGAUGAAGGCCUUCGGGUUGUAAACUGCUUUUGUACGGAACGAAAAGACUCCUUCUAAUAAAGGGGGUCCAUGACGGUACCGUAAGAAUAAGCACCUGCUAACUACGUGCCAGCAGCCGCGGUAAUACGUAGGGUGCAAGCGUUAAUCGGAAUUACUGGGCGUAAAGCGUGCGCAGGCGGUUAUAUAAGACAGAUGUGAAAUCCCCGGGCUCAACCUGGGAACUGCAUUUGUGACUGUAUAGCUAGAGUACGGUAGAGGGGGAUGGAAUUCCGCGUGUAGCAGUGAAAUGCGUAGAUAUGCGGAGGAACACCGAUGGCGAAGGCAAUCCCCUGGACCUGUACUGACGCUCAUGCACGAAAGCGUGGGGAGCAAACAGGAUUAGAUACCCGUGUAGUCC
Molecule: ribosomal RNA, 450 nt
Filed under: uncultured bacterium
Lineage: Bacteria
Description: partial 16S ribosomal RNA
Rfam family: Bacterial small subunit ribosomal RNA
Source: RNAcentral